RNAcentral lists this ribosomal RNA (526 nucleotides) under uncultured bacterium. RNAcentral describes it as "bacterial SSU rRNA". It matches the Rfam family "Bacterial small subunit ribosomal RNA", at positions 28 to 536 of the family's 1533-position model. The record is from RNAcentral.
GGCUAACGCUGGCGGCGUGUCUUAGCCAUGCAAGUCGAGCGGACUUAUGGGGUAACUUAUAAGUCAGCGGCGGACGGCGGAGUAACACGUAGCUAACCUACCCUCUGGACGGGGAUAACCUACCGAAAGGUGGGCUAAUACCCGAUGUAGUCAUCCUGUAUAGGGGUGAUGAAAGGUGGGCUUCUGUUUACAAGCUCAUGCUGGAGGAGGGGGCUGCGGCCUAUCAGGUAGUUGGUAGGGUAAUAGCCUACCAAGCCGAUGACGGGUAGCCGGCCUGAGAGGGUGACCGGCCCGAGGGGCACUGAGAUACGGGUCCCACUCCUACGGGAGGCAGCAGGCUAGAAAUUUGGGCAAUGGGGGAAACCCUGACCCAGUGACGCCGCGUGCAGGAAGGAGCCCUUCGGGGUGUAAACUGCUGUCGUGUAGGGAGAAGGGUACUAAGGUGAACAAUCUUAGUACUUGACGUACUACAGGAGGAAGCCCAGGCUAACCUCGUGCCAGCAGCCGACGGUAAAAUAGACGUACU